UCGGACCCUGUACAGCAGCAGCCCCAGAGUCCUAAGCAACAACAGUGACGCCAACUUGGAGCUCAUCAACACCUGGGUGGCCAAGAACACCAACAACAAGAUCAGCCGGCUGCUAGACAGUCUGCCCUCCGAUACCCGCCUUGUCCUCCUCAAUGCUAUCUACCUGAGUGCAAGUGGAAGACAACAUUUGAUCCCAAGAAAACCAGAAUGGAACCCUUUCACUUCAAAAACUCAGUUAUAAAAGUGCCCAUGAUGAAUAGCAAGAAGUACCCUGUGGCCCAUUUCAUUGACCAAACUUUGAAAGCCAAGUGGGGCAGCUGCAGCUCUCCCACAAUCUGAGUUUGGUGAUCCUGGUACCCCAGAACCUGAAACAUCGUCUUGAAGACAUGGAACAGGCUCUCAGCCCUUCUGUUUUCAAGGCCAUCAUGGAGAAACUGGAGAUGUCCAAGUUCCAGCCCACUCUCCUAACACUACCCCGCAUCAAAGUGACGACCAGCCAGGAUAUGCUCUCAAUCAUGGAGAAAUUGGAUUCUUCGAUUUUUCUUAUGACCUUAACCUGUGUGGGCUGACAGAGGACCCAGAUCUUCAGGUUUCUGCGAUGCAGCACCAGACAGUGCUGGAACUGACAGAGACUGGGGUGGAGGCGGCUGCAG
RNAcentral lists this long non-coding RNA (653 nucleotides) under Homo sapiens (human). RNAcentral describes it as "long non-coding RNA NONHSAT021421.2". Lineage: Eukaryota; Metazoa; Chordata; Mammalia; Primates; Hominidae. The record is from RNAcentral.